GUCAGUAUAGUUCGUUCGUCAAUGGAGGACGUCGUUCGCGCCUUUUUCAUUCGCCACGCGUCGAUCGAUGCAGGAGACCCACACUGGAUAAUAAAAUUGUCGUCCAUUUCAAAAUCUUGAGCAGGGCGUCUUUGAGCUGGACGGCCGUCCGCACUUCCCGUUUCAUGGCGUUCAGGUGACGCUGGAGCGUUGGCCAGGUGGGCAAGUCGCACGGAAGGAGCACCAGCGCCAUCUCCAAGUCGAUCCUUUCACCGCUUCAAGCGCUCACCCAAUAUCAUCCGCCUCAACAACAACAACGGCCAACAACUCGACGGACGCAAUUUGUUUUUUGGGUGUCCACCGCCCAGCAAUCUGGGCCAGCCAAAGUUCGUUUAGUACAAACGGACGAGAUCAAAACACGGCGAAUCACAGGCUCACAUCAUUUCGCACUAAUGUAACUGUGGAGACGGACAUUUCGACUGCGGAAAUUCAAACUGGAAACUGGUUUGUUGUGUAGCCUUGCAGUGUGUCCGGUCAGUGACUGGCUGCGCUGUGUGCAAAGGAGGUAGAAGAAACGGACCGAUGCUGGCCGACACAACUGACGAUGGUGUCCGACACGAGCCGUCUGCCUUCUGCCCGUUUGUUGCGGGACCUCCCUCUCUCUCUUUUGGCUGUUCUGUGCAGUGCAUACGUGCUUAUACCCAUAGAGCUCCUGCCCAGCUUCUCUGUCUCCUUCUCCUUCCUUCCUUCUCUCUCUGUUCCUUCUUAGCCGAAACGACUUAUUUUUAUAAAUAGAUCCCGGGAGAGCCAACCGACGAAGAAGAAGUAGAAGGGAGGUCGUUCGUCUAAAGGACUCACGCUCUUACUCUCUUUUCUGAUUCUUUUCGUUUAUUCUCUCUCUCUUUGAUUUCUUUUCCUUCUUCUUCUUCUUCUUCUUGUGUUUUCUUAGCGUCGUUCGUUUCUGAGCUGGGCGGCCUCGGCACUGCUGCUGCCCGGCUCCCGUCCAGCAGCACAAGCAACAGCAGCGCAUUCUUCAAUUUUCUUGUUGUGUCUCUCGGGCCAAUUAAACCUCCCUGGUUAUGCCGGGGGUUUUUAAAAGGACCCCCCUUUUUGUCUUUUGACUUGUACGGGUGGAGAUGGGGAGGGGGGGGGGGGUCGUGUAUAGUCACGGGCAACUGUGUUUUUACCAAUUUUUUUGCCCGGCCAGCAGCAGCAGCAGCAGCCGGCGGAGAAUGGCGCCAACAUCGUCACCUCGUUGUCGCCAAGGAUAUCAAAACGUCCGGACUAUUUUAUUUUUAUUUUAUUUUAUUUUAUUUUUCUUCUGGUUGGCGAAACGGGGAAUUUUGUGUUUCGCCCAGCACCAGCACAUCCUUGUUAUUUUCUCGUUUUACAGUUGUGUGUGUGUCGCUUGUCGCCGUGAUCGUUUCAAUUGUAAACGUCGCGGACGGCCGCCGUUUUUCGUGACGGAUAACACACAAAAUCACGGCCAUAGAAAGAAAGAAAGAAAGAAAAAACAAGAGUUUCCAGUGUUUUGCCCGUCUCGUCUUUCUCCAUCUGUUUUUAGACGGACGUGUAUACACCACACACACACACACACACACGGGUAACAGUAGAUGACACUGGGGCUGAGCCGGUGACAGCAACAAAACAACUUUAAAUAGAUUAACCGGCCCCAAACCGAAAAAAAGAAAAGAAAACUCUUGUCGCCUAGACUAUCCCCAAACCUAUAAAAAUAAAGGGGCCUAUGAAUAAACUAGAAUUCUAAAUUUAUUUUAAUUACAGGGGCCGGAGUGUACGGUGCGUUCAAAAAAUUCUCCUCUCCGUUUUUCACCGGGUUAUUGGUUUUUAAAUAUUAUUACGGCGGGAGAAAAUGUUGACUAUCCUGGCGGGGAAAAGUCAAAAUGUUUAAAUUCUAAAUAAGAUGUGGCAGGUGUCAGGGCUCUGUCAUAAUUCAUGUUCCACCAGCUUCCAGACAUCCGCCAGUUUUUAUUUUAUUUUAUUUUUUACUUUUUUUCGGGACUUGUCAAAACGGACGGCGAGACUCCCAUCACGGACAUGUGUCUGAAAAAGUAGAAAACCGAUCCCGUCCCUUUUUGGUUUUCAUUUAAAAAAAAAUUGACUGUAAAAUCUUGAAAAAGUUAACGUUACACGUCAAAAUAAAAAACAAGAUAGCGCGCCGAAACUUUUGAAAUUUCUCCCGGAAAAAAUAAAUCAAAAAGGUGGAACUUAGUAUAUUAUCGUCGUGACUUGGCUGGGCCGAAAUGGCUUUCACGUGCGCCCGCUGAUUUGUUUUUCAUUCAAUGAUUGAGAUUUUCAAACGUGUUUUGAUCGGCUGUGUGACGCCUCGAUCGAAGCCGAAACGCAAUCAACUAUUUUGGCCCUUUAUUUUUCCCGCGUUCAUAUUUCGUCACGCCAUGACGACAGAUUGGAGAAUAUUUAAAAAUGAAAAAUCAACCACGUAGCCUUAGUCAUGAUUACAGUAACUCAUUUUUAGUGCGACACUCGAUGGUCGAGCAGUUGCGCAAUAAAGUCGUCGUCAUAAUGAUCGUUCAUUUAAUAUCUAAGAUGAUGGUGUUAUUUUCAAUGUAACGGGGCGUUUUUGUAAUUGGUAACACGCAAAGAGGGCGGAACGCGUCGUCUUGGAAAAGUGGAAUGAUUACAUUCGAUGUAAUUAAAGGAAAUUGGAUUUCACAAAAAAAACUCAAAUUAAACUAAGCGCCGGGAUCCUCCCUUUGUUUCUCAUUGGCACCGUCAAAAGUCACGAACUUACUCGAACGAAGAGUCGUUUCAAACCAUUUUCGAACUCAGCUGCAAGUUUUAAAAAUUUAAAACAUUUUUUAAAAAAUCCGGGUCAUAUUUUUUGACGGUUUUUAUUUUUUUUCAAACAGCCGUUCGGUACGCAACAUUGGCGUCGGUUUUUCUUUGAGUGGAAGGGAGUUUUCGCAUGCGACGCGGGACUUCCCACGACGUCUCCUCCUCCCAGUAUAGAUCCACCACCUUCUAUCUAUCCAAGUAUAAGCGGGUGAAAGAAGGGUGGUAUAUCUACCGUACACAACAUCCGUCAUGGGAGGAAAUGACAUUGAAUCUCUGGCGCCCGCCAGCGAUAUCAUCUUGCAGCAGAGCCUUUGACGUGUCGUCCCAAAAAUAAACGACACCUCACGCCCAAUCUCUUGCUCUUGCAGUUGCCAUUGCAGUUGCCAUUGCACCAAAAUCCCAAUCCAAGCUAAAAUGAAAAUGUCCGGAUUCCCUCUACCGGGUGGGAUAAUUGAAUCGUGUCGAUUGCGUCUUGUUUUUUUUCCCUUUCUAAAAAUUGCGUUGCCCAUAGCAACGACACACAGCUUAAAAUAAUAAUAAUACCAAAAAGUUGGGGUUUGAGAUAUGGGCGAGUUGUUAGUUCGUCUCGCCAAGAUGGUGCCAAUAAAAAUCGAGGCAUAGACAUACACGACCCUUUUCCCUAUCAAUCACGUAGUCAAGAAUAUUCGCCGUAAAGCGGGGGGUGGUGGUUGGGGGGGGGGGCCUUGUAUAUAAAUAUAGCCAAAGGUAUUUAUAAAUAUGUGACAUACCAAGACGGUCUGGAAUGUUUUUUUUUUCCCUUCGACCGAUUCCGUGGUGGCAUUGAAUUCAAUGUCAAUCGGUUGGUGCGCCAUCGCUGCUUGCCGCUGUGGUUUUGUGGCCGUCUCGCAGGAGAAUUUUCGGUUCUAUUAUCAUCUCUCGUUAUCUUUUAGCUGUUUUAUUUUAUUUUAUUUUAUUUAUUUUUUAAAUUAGAAAUAAUGAAGUGGAAUGAAACGAAGAUUGGGGAUGUUUGGUUUUUUUUUGGGUCCGGCGGUUGUACCCCGCACGACUUGUACAAUUAUGUAUUAUGGAAUGAUCUCUUCCGCAUCGUCAAAUCUCUUGAUACAAAUCCAAAUAAUGAGAUAGAAAAAGGUAUAGAAGAAUGUAAGAUGUAGAGAGAGAGAGAGAGAGAUGAGAGCCUUUCAAAAGAAAAUUUCAUAAAUGGGCGGUGAGGAAAUGGGGUGGUUAACUCUCAUUUUUUUAAAUAUAUAUGUUAAGGUUGUGUACAAAUUCAGUUGGUCUCCUCCCUUGCCCGUCGUCUGUCUGUGUAGUAGGUGUGUAGUGUAGUGUGUAGUGUGUAAGUAUGUAAAUG
Molecule: long non-coding RNA, 4123 nt
Organism: Daphnia pulicaria
Lineage: Eukaryota; Metazoa; Arthropoda; Branchiopoda; Diplostraca; Daphniidae
Exons: 3
Source: RefSeq, a predicted model, not a curated record